RNAcentral lists this long non-coding RNA (478 nucleotides) under Musa acuminata (dwarf banana). Its description in RNAcentral is "long non-coding RNA (MACU_LNC004826)". The record is from RNAcentral. Lineage: Eukaryota; Viridiplantae; Streptophyta; Magnoliopsida; Zingiberales; Musaceae.
UAUUUUCUUUCCCUGAUGGAUUUAUCUGACAUAGUUUUAAAUGCCUACAGCAGAAGCCUGGCAGGAUCGGCAUUGUUGCAGGAACCUGCUUCUACGACGUACACCUUAAACCUUUCAUUUGUAUCAAUUAAUUCCUUCUUUUAGCGUUUUUAAUAAGGGCUGAGUAAAGAAAUGAGACAGCAAACUAAAUGUAAAUGGUGUACCUGCAAAGCCUGGUACACUUUGGGUAGAAACUGCGACUUAUCAUGACGCCAUUUCACUUGAUCCAACUGGGAAAACCCCUGUUCAAAGUCAAAACAAAAGAGUUGUCACGCAUAAGAACAAACAGUUGAAGCGCGCUUUGUUUAUCCCCACGUCUACUUAUACCUGCCUUGGUGGUUUUCUUUGGCACGCAGAUAUCCCUCCACAAGCCCGUGAUGGCCGCCACUCCGCCUCUGCUCGUCUUCCUUCUCCUUGCCUUAGUAGUGCUCUCUCCCCG